This 125-nucleotide small nucleolar RNA is filed under the name Nannospalax galili (Upper Galilee mountains blind mole rat). RNAcentral's name for it is "Small nucleolar RNA SNORA33 (ENSNGAG00000006758.1)". The record is from RNAcentral. Lineage: Eukaryota; Metazoa; Chordata; Mammalia; Rodentia; Spalacidae.
UGGCCUUUAGAAUCUACUUACCUGAAUGCAUGUCUGCUCAAACUCAGAAAAAGUUGGCAGUAGUAGUGCAAGUUACAAGGCUUCAAGACAUUGAAGUCAUUAAGGUCUCGUAAUUGGCUAUGAUA